ACACUUCGUGAAGUGACGACUUUCAUUCAGUCGCUUCCCCCCAUGCUGGUGUUCUUAUGUGAAACAAGGCAACAAAAACGUAAGAUGAAAAAAAAAUUCAAAACUCGGAUUGGAUUAAAAGGUUUUGAGGGAGUAGACAGUAUUGGAAAUAGUGGUGGAUUGGCUCUUUAUUGGCAUGAACCCCUCAAAGUGAAGGUGGUGUUCUCAAACCAGAGAUGUAUCGAUGCACAUGUUAGUUUGGGUGUCGAUGAGAUUAUGUGGAGGUUGACUUGUGUCUAUGGAGAACCAAGGGCUGAGGAUAGACAUAACAUGUGGACUUUGCUUAAUAAUCUGAGCUCCCAGUCUAAUCUACCCUAG
Molecule: ribosomal RNA, 357 nt
Filed under: Triticum aestivum (bread wheat)
Lineage: Eukaryota; Viridiplantae; Streptophyta; Magnoliopsida; Poales; Poaceae
Description: partial small subunit ribosomal RNA
Source: RNAcentral